This 252-nucleotide ribosomal RNA is filed under the name uncultured bacterium. RNAcentral describes it as "partial 16S ribosomal RNA". It matches the Rfam family "Bacterial small subunit ribosomal RNA", at positions 524 to 776 of the family's 1533-position model. The record is from RNAcentral.
UACGUAGGGUGCGAGCGUUGUCCGGAAUUAUUGGGCGUAAAGAGCUUGUAGGCGGUUUGUCGCGUCUGCCGUGAAAAUCCGAGGCUCAACCUCGGACUUGCGGUGGGUACGGGCAGACUAGAGUGUGGUAGGGGAGACUGGAAUUCCUGGUGUAGCGGUGAAAUGCGCAGAUAUCAGGAGGAACACCGAUGGCGAAGGCAGGCUCUGGGCCACUACUGACGCUGAGAAGCGAAAGCAUGGGGAGCGAACAGG